AGGACGAACGCUGGCGGUGCGCNUAAUGCAUGCAAGUCGAACGAGCGACCCGGGCUCGCCCGGUUAGCUAGUGGCAGACGGCUGAGUAACACGUAAGUAAUUUGCCCCGAAGAGGGGGAUAAUCCAGAGAAAUCUGGCCUAAUACCCCGUACCUUUCUUUCCGGCCUGCCGGAUUGAAAGAAAGGCUCCGGCGCUUUGGGAGAAGCUUGCGGCUUAUCAGGUAGUUGGUGGGGUAAUGGCCUACCAAGCCCAAGACGAGUAACCGGUGUGAGAGCACGAUCGGUCAGAGGGGGACUGAGACACGGCCCCCACUCCUACGGGAGGCAGCAGCAGGGAAUCUUGCGCAAUGGGCGAAAGCCUGACGCAGCGACACCGCGUGGAGGAUGAAGGUCCUAGGAUUGUAAACUCCUUUUAUCAGGGAAGAGAAAGGACGGUACCUGAUGAAUAAGGUUCGGCUAACUACGUGCCAGCAGCCGCGGUAAUACGUAGGAACCGAGCGUUGUCCGGAUUUACUGGGCGUAAAGAGCGCGUAGGUGGUUUGUUAAGUCUCAUGUGUAAUCUCCCGGCUCAACUGGGAGGGGUCAUGGGAUACUGGCAGGCUUGAGGGUAGCAGAGGAAAGCGGAAUUCCCGGAGUAGUGGUGAAAUGCGUAGAUACCGGGAGGAACACCAGAGGCGAAGGCGGCUUUCUGGGCUAUUCCUGACACUGAGGCGCGAAAGCGUGGGGAGCGAACCGGAUUAGAUACCCGGGUAGUCCACGCCGUAAACGAUGGAUACUAGACAUUGGGGGUAUAGACCCCUCCAGUGUCGAAGCUAACGCGAUAAGUAUCCCGCCUGGGGAGUACGGCCGCAAGGCUAAAACUCAAAGGAAUUGACGGGGACC
This 881-nucleotide ribosomal RNA is filed under the name uncultured bacterium. Its description in RNAcentral is "bacterial SSU rRNA". It matches the Rfam family "Bacterial small subunit ribosomal RNA", at positions 26 to 921 of the family's 1533-position model. The record is from RNAcentral.